UGAGUAAGCCAGGCAGUCGCGUGCGCGGGAGCGCAUGAGGAAAGUCCGGGCUCCAGAGGGCAAGGACGCCGGAUAACGUCCGGUGAAGGCAACUUUAAGGAAAGUGCAACAGAAACACACCGCCGAAACGGGUAGGGUGGCGUGUAAAAAUAAUAUGCAUGGAUUGCGCAGGAUUUUUUCGCCCGGCGAGGCUUUGCGACACAGCCCGGCGGAAAAAAGACAAGCAAGCCGCCCAGGUUAUUUUUACACGCCGCCUUGUGCCGUGGUAAGGUUGAAAUGGUGAGGUAAGAGCUCACCGGCGGCAUGGUAACAUGUCGGCCGUGUAAACCCCGUCCGGAGCAAGGCCAAGCAGGGCAUCGUCAUCUUCGGAUGACAGCGGCGGCCCGUCGCUGCCCGGUAUGGUAGGCCGCAUGAGCCUGUUGGCGACAGCAGGUCGAGAUAGAUGAUUGCCACCCGCCCGCGCGACGCGCGAGGCGGGACACAGAACCCGGCUUACGGCUUGCUCAUCCU
Molecule: RNase P RNA, 510 nt
Filed under: Eubacteriales Family XIII. Incertae Sedis bacterium
Lineage: Bacteria; Bacillati; Bacillota; Clostridia; Peptostreptococcales; Anaerovoracaceae
Description: RNase P RNA component class A
Rfam family: Bacterial RNase P class A
About the family: Ribonuclease P (RNase P) is a ubiquitous endoribonuclease, found in archaea, bacteria and eukarya as well as chloroplasts and mitochondria. Its best characterised activity is the generation of mature 5'-ends of tRNAs by cleaving the 5'-leader elements of precursor-tRNAs.
Source: RNAcentral